ACAGAGGGUGCGAGCGUUGUCCGGAAUCACUGGGCGUAAAGGGCGCGUAGGUGGCCGAGCAAGGUCGCGGUGAAAGCCCGGGGCUCAACCCCGGGUCGGCCGUGGCAACUACUCGGCUCGAGCACUGUAGGGGCGGGUGGAAUUCCGGGUGUAGCGGUGGAAUGCGUAGAGACCCGGAAGAACACCGGUGGCGAAGGCGGUUAGCUGGGCAGUUGCUGACACUGAGGCGCGACAGCGUGGGGAGCAAACAGGA
Molecule: ribosomal RNA, 253 nt
Filed under: uncultured prokaryote
Description: partial 16S ribosomal RNA
Rfam family: Bacterial small subunit ribosomal RNA
Source: RNAcentral